Molecule: small nucleolar RNA, 84 nt
Organism: Rhododendron vialii
Lineage: Eukaryota; Viridiplantae; Streptophyta; Magnoliopsida; Ericales; Ericaceae
Product: small nucleolar RNA Z159/U59
Exons: 1
Source: RefSeq, a predicted model, not a curated record
GCCUCUAAUGAUGAUCAAACAAUACUUUCAUUCUUCCAAGAAAUUUCAUGUGGAGAAAUUAUUGGAGACCUGAACUGAAGAGGC